UUUUUUUUUUUUUCUUUGAGACUAAGUCUCGCGCUGUCACCCAGGCUGGAGUGCAGUGGCCGGAUCUCAGCUCACUGCAAGCUCCGCCUCCCGGGUUCACGCCAUUCUCCUGCCUCCACCUCCCGAGUAGCUGGGACUACAGGCGUCCGCCACCUCGGCCGGCUAGUUUUUUGUAUUUUUUAGUAGAGACGGGGUUUCACCGUGUUAACCAGGAUGGUCUCGAUCUCCUGACCUCAUGAUCCGCCCGUCUCGGCCUCCCAAAGUGCUGGGAUUACAGGCUUGAGCCACCGCACCCGGCCAAAACUACAGUCUUUUUAUAACCUAAUCUCAGAAGUGACAUGGUAUCACUUCUGCCAUAUUCUGUUUGACACAAGCAAGCCACUAAGUCCAGUCUACACUCAAGGGGAGGGAAACGAAGCCUCAUUAACUGAAAGGACAGUUAUCAAAGAAUGAGUAGAUAGGACACAUCUUUAAAACCACAAUAUCACAACCACAUUAUUAACUUACCUAAUGCAUAAAUCAUCACUACCUUUUCUUCUCUACUGCCAGUUCAAAAACCUCUUAUCUUUACAAUUUCUCCAAAAUGAGUAUAAACCCUCAGCUUGAUAAUGAAUUCAUUCCUUUACCUACUUUCCAACCUGCAUCUCCCAUUCCUCCCCUCUGCACAUUCCUGCUCUAGCUACAUACUGCUUCCAAACACUUCCAUACUCGUUCACCGGCAUUCACACUGUUUCCUUGGCCUACAAGCAUGGUUCUCAAACUUAAGUUCAGGUGAAAGAACAUCUGACAGUCUCCAUACUCUUAAUACUACUACAAAACACGGAUCCACAAAGCCCAGUGUAACAAUUCAUUACACUGUGCUAAAAGGAAACCACUCUUACACUAGAUUCUAGAAUACACAAAGGGAAGCAGGUGCCAAUGAUUUCAGAACAUUUCUUCUAUACGUUGAUUAAACACAAGGCUAUUAUUAGAGAUUAGCAGAAUAUCCUUUCACGGAAGGAACACCUCCUGAAAGCAACUGAGGGAAAGCCUCUUACUCUCAUUCCUCCAUCUCUUAAAACUUUACAUGACUAGUUGUAAAAAGUCUGAAACCAUCCUGAAGGCGCCUAAAAAAGUUCCUAUAUAAACUGUAGUGUUGCUGCAUGGUGGGAUGCCAUAGAGCCGUUUAAAAAGAUGAGGCAGAGCUUUGUGUACUGACUUGGAACAAUCUCCAAGGUACGUUAAGAAGAAAAAGCAAGGUGUGGAACAAUGGGUAUACCAGGCUACUAUAUGUGUUUUUCUAAUAAGUAAGUUUGGCCAGGUUCAGUGGUUCAUGCAUGCAACCCCAGCACUUUGGGAGGCUGAGGUGGGAGGAUCCUUUGAAGCCAGGAGUUGGAGACCAGCCUGGGCAACAUGGUGAGACUCCUCCCUGUCCUCAUCUCUACAAAAAAAACUGUAAAAGAUAUCAGGACAUGGUGACCAGAACCUUUAGUCCUACCUACUCGGGAAGCUGAAGCCGGAGGAUCUCUUGAACCCAGGAGUUCCAAACUGCAGUUAAGCUAUAGUCACGCCACUACACUCCAGCCUGAGUGACAGAGCCAGUCUCCGUUUCUUUAAAAAAAAAAAAAAAAAUGGCCGGGCACAGUGGCUCACUCCUGUCAUCCCAGCACUUUGGGAGGCCAAGGCGAGUAGAUCACCUGAGGUCAGGAGUUCGAGACCAGCCUGGCCAACAUGGACAAACGCCCUCUCUACUAAAAAUACAAAAUUAGCCAGGCGUGAUGGCGCAUGCCUGUAAUCUUAGUUACUGGGGAGGGUGAGGCAGGAGAGAAUAGCUUGAACCGGGAGGCGGAGGUUGCGGUGGGCUGAGAUCUCGCCAUUGCACUCCAGCCUAGGCAACAAGAGUGAAACUCCGUCUCAAAAAAAAAAAAGGUAGCCGGGCGUGGUGGCGUGCGCCUAUAGUUCCAGCUACUCGGGAGGCUGAGACAAGAGAACUGCUUGAACUGAAAAUGGGGAGAUUGCAGUGAGACGAGAUCACUGCACUCCAGCCUGGGCGACAGAGCGAGACUGUUACACACACACACAAAAAAAAAAAAAGGAAAAAAGAAAUUAAACCCAUCCAAAAAGAGAAAGGAGAAGU
RNAcentral lists this long non-coding RNA (2116 nucleotides) under Macaca fascicularis (crab-eating macaque). RNAcentral's name for it is "lncRNA (ENSMFAG00000047183.1)". Lineage: Eukaryota; Metazoa; Chordata; Mammalia; Primates; Cercopithecidae. The record is from RNAcentral.